GGGCCCGCACAAGCGGAGGAACAUGUGGUUUAAUUCGAUGAUACGCGAGGAACCUUACCCGGGCUCGAACGGCUAUUGAAUGUUGCAGAGAUGUAACAGUUCGCAAGAACAGUAGUCGAGGUGCUGCAUGGUUGUCGUCAGCUCGUGCCGUGAGGUGUCGGCUUAAGUGCCAUAACGAGCGCAACCCUUGUCGUUAGUUGCCAGCGAGUAAUGUCGGGAACUCUAACGAGACUGCCACCGUAAGGUGUGAGGAAGGGGGGGAUGACGUCAAAUCAGCACGGCCCUUACGUCCGGGGCGACACACGUGUUACAAUGGGAGGUACAGAGGGCAGCUACUAUGCGAAUAGAUGCAAAUCUCGAAAACCUCUCUCAGUUCGGAUUGGAGUCUGAACUCGACUCCAUGAAGUUGGAUUCGCUAGUAAUCGCGCAUCAGCCAUGGCG
Molecule: ribosomal RNA, 441 nt
Filed under: uncultured Bacteroidota bacterium
Lineage: Bacteria; Pseudomonadati; Bacteroidota
Description: bacterial SSU rRNA
Rfam family: Bacterial small subunit ribosomal RNA
Source: RNAcentral